This 504-nucleotide unclassified non-coding RNA is filed under the name Hevea brasiliensis (rubber tree). Lineage: Eukaryota; Viridiplantae; Streptophyta; Magnoliopsida; Malpighiales; Euphorbiaceae. The record is from RNAcentral.
GUACGAUCCAAUUUCCAGAUACUCGGUAAUAGCAUUCAAAACAUCUGUGUGUCUAUCAGAUUCUUGCCUGAUAUCAAGCCUUACAAGAGACAAGCCAAAAGUUGAUACUUGGCGCAAGAAGUCCAGAAGACUUCCAUCAGCUAUAGGCCUGUCCCCACAAGAGCAGAGAGAUCUGUAGCAAAGCUCGAGGGGUUCGAGGAACUGCUCAACAUUGGUAAAAGCCACUUCCUCAGGUAUGUCAGAAUAUCCACUUGUCAGAAAAUGACAAGCUCGCUCGCGUGUCUGAUAUAGCUUCUCUCUUACAUCAUCGAGGAUUACACGAUAAGGUUCAUUUAGUGGAACCCGUUUCCAAAAUUCGAUAUAGUGUUUAGCCUCUUUCCUGGAAGCCCGGUGGUGUAACUCAUCUGCUCGGAAUCGAAGUUCAUCGCUACAGCGCCACAUAGAUAGCUCAAACAUAAGUUCUUCUAUCUGGGAAAAGUACAAAUUUGCAGCCAUCAUUCUUGC